AGUGAACGCUGGCGGUAGGCCUAACACAUGCAAGUCGAACGGCAGCACAGUAAGAGCUUGCUCUUACGGGUGGCGAGUGGCGGACGGGUGAGGAAUACAUCGGAAUCUACUUUUUCGUGGGGGAUAACGUAGGGAAACUUACGCUAAUACCGCAUACGACCUACGGGUGAAAGCAGGGGAUCUUCGGACCUUGCUCGAUUGAAUGAGCCGAUGUCGGAUUAGCUAGUUGGCGGGGUAAAGGCCCACCAAGGCGACGAUCCGUAGCUGGUCUGAGAGGAUGAUCAGCCACACUGGAACUGAGACACGGUCCAGACUCCUACGAGAGGCAGCAGUGGGGAAUAUUGGACAAUGGGCGCAAGCCUGAUCCAGCCAUACCGCGUGGGUGAAGAAGGCCUUCGGGUUGUAAAGCCCUUUUGUUGGGAAAGAAAAGCAGCAGGUUAAUACCCCGCUGUUCUGACGGUACCCAAAGAAUAAGCACCGGCUAACUUCGUG
Molecule: ribosomal RNA, 492 nt
Filed under: uncultured bacterium
Lineage: Bacteria
Description: partial 16S ribosomal RNA
Rfam family: Bacterial small subunit ribosomal RNA
Source: RNAcentral